UACGUAGGUGGCAAGCGUUGUCCGGAUUUACUGGGUGUAAAGGGGGCGCAGGCGGGAAAGCAAGUCAGCGGUGAAAUCUCUGGGCUUAACCCGGAAACUGCCGUUGAAACUGUUUUUCUUGAGUGAAGUAGAGGCAAGCGGAAUUCCGAGUGUAGCGGUGAAAUGCGUAGAUAUUCGGAGGAACACCAGUGGCGAAGGCGGCUUGCUGGGCUUUAACUGACGCUGAGGCCCGAAAGUGUGGGUAG
Molecule: ribosomal RNA, 245 nt
Filed under: uncultured Oscillospiraceae bacterium
Lineage: Bacteria; Bacillati; Bacillota; Clostridia; Eubacteriales; Oscillospiraceae
Description: partial 16S ribosomal RNA
Rfam family: Bacterial small subunit ribosomal RNA
Source: RNAcentral